GGAGGGCGGCGUGCUGCAGGAGACGGGGGAGUGUCUGGAGCAGGCUCCCGCCCGGGCUCCACAUGCCUCGGCCGGCGCGGGCCCUCAGCCGGCCAGCCCCUCCGCCGCGGCGCCUAUCAGGCAGCGUCCCUUCAUGGCGCCCGGUACAAGUAGGAUUACAUUUCCUGGCUUCCUUGUAGUUGGGAUGAGCCAUAUUACACAUUCUGCCAUGAAUUGUGAGCAUAACAUUUGAUUGCUGAUGCAAGACCUUCCAGAACUCUUUUUCCUCUUUGCCAUGGCAAUCAACAAUGUUCCAGAGAGUAUAUGCUCUGUAAGUCUUCGUCUUAGAGGGAGGAUGAUCCAGAAAAGAGUCCCAUUCACCUCAUCAUGGAUAUUUAAAGAACACACACAGCAGGCAUCCUUCAGUGACGACUCCUGCAGCCACAGGAAAUGGAAGUGCCAGUGACGCAUCAAAUCGUGGACUCCGAACAGUGCUCUUCUUCAAGAAGCUCUCCAGCUAGCAAGGCGAAUACUUCGAGCACUACUUUUUGGAGCACUUCACAGAAGACAAGUGCCUUCUUUUUUUUCCAGGCUUGCUUAAGAUAUAUAAUUUAAAUGAGUGUCUGGACCCUGUGUGAAGUUCUAUUUCAGUGUUAGCAACUAAUUGUUUCUGAAUGAUGUAUAUUCAACUUAUUUGUUCAGCAGAAGCAUAGUGGGGAUAUAUACUUUGCUAGCUGCCUUGAGAAUAUAAAGAUGAAGGAAAUUCAUUUCCUGCCUUCAGAAGUACAGUCUAAUUGUGAAGAAGGGAACAUUAACUCAAUUACAAUCAUGGAUAAUGGGUGCAUCAGACUGGUGUCAAGAGGUUUGGGAUGGCAAGGGCAAGGCUGAUGAUUCCUGAUGGCUGGCCAUUUCCAACAAGUGUUCUUUAUUCUGUUCCUGGGUUUCCUUAAUUCCAGGAGCUAGUUGUGAAUAUAACCAGUCUUCCUGUAUAACUCCCUCUUGUCUGUAAUUACAGUGGUGAUGGGAAAUGCUAUAAUCUUUACCAGCCUUGAUCUGCCAUCAUUUUGCUCACACACCUGUGCAUCCUUUACCAAAUGUACAUUUUCCUGAGGAGUAUGUCUCCAGCCUCCCUCUCCUCUUAUAAUGCUCUUCAAUACAUAUUUGACCCAGAAGAAGUGAGCCUUGAUGGAGGUGACAGGUAAAAAUGAGUGGAAAAGGGGGAAGCACCCACUCAUAUCAGCUAAGUAACUGUUUAGCUAAUUCCCACUCACAGUAAGAAAAUGGGAAAUUAUAGGCUGAUGCUACAGUUAUAAUUUCCAGUCCAGAAUAGUCAGAAGAUUUGGUGUUUCUAAUUUCAAGUAUUUUUAAUUCUGUGAAAACAGUGUAUCGAGGUUCAAUUAGAAAACUAUUGUUCAUUCAUGAUAGUGGGGGAAAAUGCCAAGCCUCACAGUUAUAAUUCUUUUACUGUACAAGUAGAUGUGCACACAAAGUAUGGCUCAGUCUAGCCACUACGUUAAUUAACACCGUAUCGGAUAUUAGGGAGACAAAGGAGUAUAAAAUAUUAUGUUUAAAGUUUUGUUUAGAAAGUAAAGAAAAGGAAAAUUCAGAAUACCCUAUUGCCAAUGAGCCUUGUUUCCCAGUAUAGAAAAUAUGAUCAGAGACUGAUAUUAUUUCUGUAGACUAAAUCUAUUAUUUUUAGGCACACAUACACAGAAUUUUAUGAUUUCCAACAUUUAUUAAAUACUUGCGGGUUUUCAACUGUUCUCAUAAGUGAAGAUUUAUGAAGAAACUAUGAUUAGAGAAUAUUUUUAAAAUUUGGAUUUGUAUCAAGAUCACUUGUUUCAUCUAUUAAGUAUGAGUUCAGGAGGAAAGGCAUACUCUGCUGACCUCCAGGCAUAAAGUGACCCAGCUGGCUGAUUUUCUUUUGCCUCAUCUCUUCAUGUCAUUCUCUCUCAAAUCUGUCCUCCUAUUUGAAGAGGAAGAAGAGAGCCAUCUCCCUUGGAAGAGGAGGAUUCAUCUUCAGUUAAAAGAAAGGAAUUAAAAAAAAAAAAAAAAGAAGGCAUAGACAGGCUCGUUUGUUAAACCACCAAAUAAGGUCUUAUUCAGUAAUUACUUAUUGGGAACAUCUCUGAUUCCGGAUUUUAAAGGACACGCUGAGGGUGAGACUCCGCCGUCACAGAUCCGUCUUGCAGUGUGAGAAGCAUAAGCAACGGUAGCAUGGAGUGUUAGGUACAAGGGCAGCACAGAGGAAGGAGUGACUAAAUCUGUCUGGGUAUCAGAGAGAGUUUUGCAGCAAAGGUGAUAUUUGAGCUGGAUGUUGAAGGAUGAGUAUACAUUUAUUUAUAUCCUGCUUAUUCCAAAAGGAUUUAAGGGGUCUUAUAGGAGUUGACCAGAUAGUGGAGGAGUGGACUAGCAUUUCAGACACAGGAAGUGCCAAAGCACAGAAGUGUGAAAGGGCACGAUAUGCUUGGGAAGUCGUGGGAAGAUCUGAGGGCAGAUGAUGCAUGGAGUACACAUGUGAGCUGGGGGAAGGGAGACAGCAUAACCAUUGUGUCAGCCUCUAGCAGUGGUUUGCAAACUUGCGCAUGAAUCUGAACCCCCUGAAGGCUUUUAAAAGCACAGAUCCCUGGGCCCCAUCCCCAGAGGUUUUGAGUCUGCAGAUUUGGGGUGAAAGGGCAAGAAUUUACAUUUUUUACAAAUUUCCUAGUGAUGUUGAUGCAGCUGGUCCUGGGACCGCACUUUCAGAACCACUUCUUUAGACUUUGGAUUUUAUCCUAUAGUCAGUUGAGAGUACCUGGAAUUUGUGUAGCUUAAGAAAGAAAGAAAAUCAGAUUUGGAUUUAGAAAGUUUACUGGCACCUGUGAGGGGAAUGAGAGAGGGAAACCACUUGGCAGAUUAUUUCACAUGUCCAAAAGACAAAGUAAAUGGACCUCGACCAAUUUAUGGAAAGAUGAAAUACACUUGAGAAUGUCUAGAGGCAUAAUCAAGAUUACUAGGAAUGUUUGAGUAUGGAGAAUGAGGGAAAGGGAAGGAAUCUCAGAAUGUUGAUUGUGUUCCAUAAUGUAACUGAAAUACUGUAAAAUUUAUGUAUUCAAAGAAUCUCAUGUUACCAAAAUCUUUAAAAUGGGGUCUAACAAAUCAUACAAACUUCAGAUGACUUUCUUGCAGUGUCAUGUGUGAUGCGUUUAUAGUUAGGGCUUGGUCAUGGUCAUUCAACAGUCAGUCAUUCCUCAAAAUGUGUGACAUAAAGUCCACUGAGGUAUGGUCAGGCCUUCCUAAGGCAGCAUCACCUAGGUCUAGGGGUGCUGUUUACCCACUGUGCCCACUCAGAACAUCAGAACUUUGGCUACAAGGAUCAGGUGUGGUCUUGCCAGCCUCGAUAUACUCUUAGUAACUAUAUGAGUUUCCCCCCAAUACAUAGGACUUUUUAGAUACAACAUGAAGGAUAAAUUGCAACUGGCUGAAGCCAUAAAAUAGAGUAUAGAUGAGUAACUUGAUCCGAAAUUGAACCCAUAAUAACGUUCAGUGAAGUUUUGAUUUUAGCUUCAAAUUUGUCUUUGCAACUGAGUCCUUAGCCAAGUGUGCCUGUUGUUCUGUUCUGUUCUCUUUUUGUUAUUGUUCUUAAGGUGCCAGGUUCUGCUGACCCUGUUCUUGUGUUCUGUGCUGCUCUUUCCUCUUACAAGGCUGUUGAAAUGGUCAGUUCCUUGUUCAAACCCUUUUUUAUCUCUUUGCAGUUUCUGAAUGUUUCCAUCAGUGUAAUCUCUGCCAGUGGCAUUUCUAAGGAGGUUGCUUUGUUCAGUUCUCACUGCUAAAUACUUACAACUCAUUAGCUUCUCUUUGUUUUUUUGCAGCCCAUUAACCCAAUAUGUCUUUUGCAUUGGACUCCAGCCUCUGUGUGCUGCCCUUGCUAGUGAUGAGGUAUCAACUUUGUUCUACAAAUGGAAAUAGGUAAGAGGAGAUUGCGGUGGGGUCUCUAUCACCCAUGCUCAAGUGAAACAUAGCUGGGCCCGAAGUUGUCUGCCAUGAUCAGAUGGAGAAGCUGGAGUGUCCCGUCGGAGAAAUCCCUACCAAGGAAUCUUUGCCUCCGCAUGCUUGCAGGGCAAGAGUAGCUCUGUAGAGCUCUUCUCACCAAGCCAUGAAGCAUUCAGAGUUGUUCAGCAAGCAGAAGAAUAUACCAGUCAGGACACAGAAGAGAAAUACAGCCUGGAGAUACAACAUUUAGGCGCCACCAGCAUUUUAAUGGUGAGUAAUGCCGUGGAAGUGUGUGCGAUCAUCUAGGAAAAGGGAGUAGAACCAUCUUUAUCAGCUGUCUAAAAUCCUGAAUAGGCACAACACCUUCCCCUCAUCCUCACUGAGAUCAUAGCCUCAAUAUCUGCAUU
Long non-coding RNA from Ailuropoda melanoleuca (giant panda), 4358 nucleotides. RefSeq lists it as uncharacterized. The transcript has 5 exons. Lineage: Eukaryota; Metazoa; Chordata; Mammalia; Carnivora; Ursidae. The record is from RefSeq and is a predicted model, not a curated record.